RNAcentral lists this transfer RNA (63 nucleotides) under Melanips sp. ZJUH 20220003. Its description in RNAcentral is "tRNA-Ser". The record is from RNAcentral. Lineage: Eukaryota; Metazoa; Arthropoda; Insecta; Hymenoptera; Figitidae.
GAAAUAAUAAUAAUAUUAAGCUUCUAACUUAUGUAUUAAAUGUAUAAAUUCAUUUUUAUUUCU